Molecule: unclassified non-coding RNA, 225 nt
Filed under: uncultured fungus
Lineage: Eukaryota; Fungi
Description: sequence contains ITS1, 5.8S rRNA gene
Rfam family: 5.8S ribosomal RNA (bases 177-225)
Source: RNAcentral
UUUUCGUAGGUGAACCUGCGAAAGUAUCAUUAGUGAAUAAUAGGGUGACUCUGUAAAGAGAAUCCCGAUUUCCACUUAUUUUCAUACACCUGUGCACUAAGCUUUUUUAACUUAUGUUAAAACACUUGUGUCAAACUUAUGUUUGUGAAUGUACAAUCAUGUUAAAAUGAAAGUAAAACUUUCAGCAAUGGAUCUCUUGGCUCUCGCAUCGAUGAAGAACGCAGC